AGAGUUUGAUCCUGGCUCAGAUUGAACGCUGCGGCAUGCCUUACACAUGCAAGUCGAACGGCAGCACGGGAGCAAUCCUGGUGGCGAGUGGCGAACGGGUGAGUAAUACAUCGGAACGUGCCCAGUAGUGGGGGAUAACCCGGCGAAAGCCGGACUAAUACCGCAUACGACCUACGGGUGAAAGCAGGGGAUCGCAAGACCUUGCGCUAUUGGAGCGGCCGAUGUCAGAUUAGCUUGUUGGCGGGGUAAAAGCCCACCAAGGCGACGAUCUGUAGCUGGUCUGAGAGGACGACCAGCCACACUGGGACUGAGACACGGCCCAGACUCCUACGGGAGGCAGCAGUGGGGAAUUUUGGACAAUGGGCGCAAGCCUGAUCCAACCAUGCCGCGUGCGGGAAGAAGGCCUUCGGGUUGUAAACCGCUUUUGUCAGGGAAGAAACGCUCCGGGCUAAUACCUCGGAGUAAUGACGGUACCUGAAGAAUAAGCACCGGCUAACUACGUG
RNAcentral lists this ribosomal RNA (503 nucleotides) under uncultured Methylibium sp. RNAcentral's name for it is "bacterial SSU rRNA". It matches the Rfam family "Bacterial small subunit ribosomal RNA", at positions 8 to 507 of the family's 1533-position model. Lineage: Bacteria; Pseudomonadati; Pseudomonadota; Betaproteobacteria; Burkholderiales; Sphaerotilaceae. The record is from RNAcentral.